AGGGCAAUAUGCGUGUGUAGGGUGAGUCACAGUAGGAGUUUCUGGCAAAAGUUUUGUGUGGUCGGGGGAAUGAUGACAGUAACACAGCAACUGGGGAUUUUCUGACUGACACCCGCCUAAGGAUUUGUGGAAAAGGACUGAGCACACAUGGCAGUUCCGUGGGGUAUCAGCAUCAUGGCACUGCAGCAGCAUUUCCCCAGGCUGCCCUGCUCUGCUGUCCCCACUACACAGAGGGUGGAUGAGAUUUUCUGGAGCAGCCCAUUCUUUGCACUUUGCAGCAAGCCCUCUGGAAGCAAUGAGCCUCUCCACAGCAUUUUCUUCCUCCCAUGUGUGUGCACAGAUGCUUUCUCUGUAAUGAUGCUCUCUGGGCCUCAUUUGCUGAGGUUCUCGGUCCUGUUACAUCCCCUGAUUCAGCGCUUGGUAUCCCUGGUAGACCAAGAUGAGCAUAGAAUUUCAACUGCCUCACAGUGAAAAUAAAUGUUGACCUGUCAGAAAUGUCCUUGGACUGAAAAUCACAGGCACUGACCCUCUGUGGCAAAGGAGUUGGACUAUGAUCGUCUACAAGGCAAGUACCAGCUUCUAGAACUGAAGUGCACCCAAAUAAACUAAGUAAACGCUUUUGGUGAAUAUUUAACAUUCAGUUACAGUCUCGGAAAUUUAUGUUCUUUGUCUGAGGGUAUUCUGGGGAAAGAGAAGAUUUCAAUCAAGAGUUUGAUCCUGCCAAAAUUUUA
This is a long non-coding RNA of Gallus gallus (chicken), 731 nucleotides long. RefSeq lists it as uncharacterized. The record is from RefSeq and is a predicted model, not a curated record. The transcript has 3 exons. Lineage: Eukaryota; Metazoa; Chordata; Aves; Galliformes; Phasianidae.